GGUUUGGUGGUCUAGUGGUAUGAUUCUCGCUUAGGGACAACCCUAUCCAAUUAUGCGAGAGGUCCCGGGUUCAAUCCCCGGCCAAACCC
RNAcentral lists this transfer RNA (89 nucleotides) under Daldinia sp. FL1419. Its description in RNAcentral is "tRNA-Pro". It matches the Rfam family "tRNA". Rfam says of the family: Transfer RNA (tRNA) molecules are approximately 80 nucleotides in length. Their secondary structure includes four short double-helical elements and three loops (D, anti-codon, and T loops). Lineage: Eukaryota; Fungi; Ascomycota; Sordariomycetes; Xylariales; Hypoxylaceae. The record is from RNAcentral.